Molecule: ribosomal RNA, 233 nt
Filed under: uncultured bacterium
Lineage: Bacteria
Description: partial 16S ribosomal RNA
Rfam family: Bacterial small subunit ribosomal RNA
Source: RNAcentral
CGGAACGGGUGAGUAAUAUAUCGGAACGUAUCCAAUAAGGGGGGAUAACUAGUCGAAAGAUUAGCUAAUACCGCAUACGCCCUGAGGGGGAAAGCUGGGGAUCUUCGGACCUAGCGUUAAUGGAGCGGCCGAUAUCUGAUUAGCUAGUAGGUGAGGUAAGAGCUCACCUAGGCGACGAUCAGUAGCUGGUCUGAGAGGACGACCAGCCACACUGGAACUGAGACACGGUCCAG